UUUUGCGCGGGAAAGGGGAAGUGAGAAAAAGUUUGUUGGGGUACGCUGUAAUUUUUUGCUGAGAUGGAGUGUGGAAUGAAGUAAAGUAACCAACAAAUUUGUGAGCGAGCUACAUAUCGUCGCCUGGGUAAAAUAUUGUCGUAUGUUACGCACGUACGUAUGACGCUUACGACAAUCUUUUGCGACGAUAUGUAGCAGACCGGUAAUGUAAAGAGCAGCAAUAAGAACAACAAAGCGAGAAUAACCGUGCAACAAAAACAAUGAUAAGUACACAAAAAUAGCAACAAAGCUACGCAUACAGCUGCCAUACAUACAUAUGUAUGUUUGUGUGUGUAUAUACAUAUGUACCCCGUAGCGAAUGUCAUGCAUUAGUCACUUAAGUGUCUUCAGAAGUCGUUCAUGACUUUCAUACAAAUGGUAAUUUAUUCGGUGGUGGCCACUGCAUCACUCUGUCAUGCAGUGAUCAUUGAUGACAUUCAAGCGACAAUGUCCUGCAAUGCACUUUUUCUAAGUGACCGCUGCAAGACAUUGUCUGUUAGAAGUCUUUGAUAGGAGUACACUUGCAUGCCAUUAUCACCAGUGUCAUUGACAGCUAUAUGUCGUUUAGGAUUCACAGCAAGUGCUACGAUGUCACUAAAUCCUUAUUAGUGGUGAUGUCACCAGUGAGCAUUUUCGCUACUGGGUAUGUCUGCAUAAGCAGCCGCCAUAGUACAGUACUGUAGUACCAGCAAAGCGAUGACUGAAGCAACCGCAGCAAUAAUACCAAAAACAACAAGCGAAUGAAUGACAGCAGCUUGUACGACUUUAUAUUUUGCACGAACCACGCACCUAAAUAUAUACAUACAUACAUACAUGUUCACAUAUGCACGCAAUGUUCUCCCCAUCUACCCUCACGGUAAAAACGGUCCCCUCCGUAAGUUCCAGAGACCCGCACCGUAGAACCAUCGUCGUUCUGAGCUGAAUACUCAGCAGCAGCCAUCUGCAGCCGAGCGAUUGAACGAACUAGCAAACGAAAGAAUAUUCCAAUACAUGUACUUAUGCGUUCGCUUGUUUACGAAGGGGUGGCGAUGACUCUGUAUGAGAAACAUAUUUUCGUCGCUCUUACAAUGCGGCAUUAGUUAGUUAGUGGCACAGUGGUGGCCUGCAUAUUAAGCCAACUUUUUCUAUUGAAAAUUCAACACUGAAUUGUGUAGUUGGUAGAAAAUACCCUGUUAGAUGUGGGAAGCACUGCCCCAACAUACUGGUACGCGAGUGUAGAAUCUUUUGCUGGAUUGCCGAUAUUUUAGGCAACCAAGUAAACAACCAGACAGUAGACAACCAGAUAGGCAAGCAGCCAGUUAGUCCAUCAGCCACAGCGGAAAAACUCUAGCCUCGACAUGCAUCUACAGCCCAUAUGUACAUUUAUUCAUACGAGUUUGUCAGCAUGUGCAUGGAAGGAGAAUGCUUGUAAAUAGCCGGCAUCGGUACCGGUAGGUCGCGGCGCACAUGCUAAUGAUUAUAUGCCGGCUAAACGAGCGGUUCUCUGCAACCUACUGAACUGAACUGCUUGAUUCACGUGCGGAGUGGAGUCCAUAGCGUUGUCAUACAUAUGAAGUGUAUGCUCACAGAAUUUGUAUCGUGAGAAAUUUGUUUUGCUUCUUCAUCCUAAAGUGAUUUGUUUGGGGCUAAUUACAGUGAUUUGUGGAGGAAUGAUUAGCCAUAUUUCGAGGAUUGGAGUUAGCUAAGGGUACUUUGGCGAGCUUUCUGUAUAACUCUUGUGUAGUUGAUCUUCUAAAAAAAUAGCGUGUGACAUAAAUCAUAUAGUGGAGUUAAAAAAACUCGUCUACAUUAUUUGUUGGUGUUGGUGUCUGCGUUUUGUUUCGAGCUGAAACAAAGAGCGUUAUAUUGAAAACACUCAGUUUUGUGGUUAUGUUAGUCGUAUGUACUAAAAUAAAUUUUGUACUUUUGAGGGAAAGCCAUUGGAGAGUAUAUUAUAAUUAAAGCGCCGUUUGUGAUUGGUUAAAUAUGCAUACUACCACUUGGUAGGUCUCAAGUUUAAUUUUCGGUACAAGUAACAAACAAAUUUUUACCAAGUACAUAAGGAGGUACAUAUGUACGUAUGUACCCGGAUACGGAAAGUGGAAACACCAAAUUUGCUUUAUGAUUUCUGAUAUGUUUGUAUAUACACGAAUGUGUGGCCUUUUAAUAAAAUAACAUAAAUAUA
This is a long non-coding RNA of Rhagoletis pomonella (apple maggot), 2203 nucleotides long. RefSeq lists it as uncharacterized. Lineage: Eukaryota; Metazoa; Arthropoda; Insecta; Diptera; Tephritidae. The transcript is spliced from 2 exons. The record is from RefSeq and is a predicted model, not a curated record.